CCCUCAUAUGGGCAUCUUUCCAAACAUCAGUUUAAUUCUCCUGAGAAAGGCUGCCUCUUUCUGUGAAUUCCCCAAAGUGAAUUUCAUAUGUACUACCGAGACCAUACAAUGUAUCAGGACAUCUAUAAUGAACAUUUGUUGGGUUUACCACCUGUAAUCAAGAUCUCAUCUUGUGGUUACAGAACUCUGAUUUUGUUUUGGGGGAUUCCCUUCUCCUACCUUUCUAUAUGUAUAAAGUUGAUUUCAUACCUGGCUCUGGGAGUGCACUUUUGGCCAAAUCCUCAUUCUAACAAUACAUUUUAUUAAUCGCUAUUUGUUCUGGCCACAGUUUGAUUCCAGAAUGGACACAGGAUCCAAGUCUGUGAAAUCAAGAUCUGUGAGAUUCUAUUCUAAGACUUUCUUAGAACUUUCUGAGACAAGGACUUUCCCUUUUCUCCUGGGUGUGGAGUUUUAAAGAUAAGUGUUCUAGAGCUGCUGCAGUCAUCUUGCAACUACAAGGACAGAGCAUAACUAAGAAUGGAUCCUAAUUAGAGGUGAACAAAAGUAGACCUAAAGAAAACAAAAGUAGGACCUAAAGAAAAAUUGUCUAGGUCCUGAUAACAGAUAUAUAUAAGCUUCUCAUCCAGCUGCUCCAAAAGCUAAAUAUUCAGAUUUUUUAGUUAUAUAGGCUCAUACAUUUACUUAUUGCUUAAUCAGUUCACCAUCUUAAACAUAACUUCCAACCUGGUUAAUACUUGUCCAGCUAUUACCAAAUGUAAACAAGCAUGAACAAAUGAGAGACAGAAAAUUAAUGUUGGUGAUAUAGAUUAUAAGUAAUGAGGAGUGUUCAGAUAUCGAGAUAAAACAUGCUUGUAUCAGUCAUUUGUUUAGUACUUAAGAUAGGUUUUACAACAUUUGAGAUAUGGCAGAUAUCUCAAAAUAUGAGGUGUCCAUAAAGUGUGCAAACAGAUACAUAUAACAAACUGUUGAUAUUACAUUACAGUUGAGUAAAAUAACAUUGUUUCACAUUAUAUAGACAACACUAUCAGACUUAAAUCCCUCUAAAAAUCUAGGUGGGAAUUCUAAGACUAAUUACUUUGCAACGAUAUUGAAAAAUACUUGGGUAUGUACUAGGCAGGAAAAUACCUACUGCAUACAAAGUAUUGUUUUGGUGAUUUAAAAGAUAGACAAAGGAAAUAAAGAGAGAAAGAGAGAGGGAGAGAACGAGAGAGAGAAGGAGGGAAGGAAGAAAGGAAGAAGAAAUAUUUUGUAUUUACUCUGUGCCAGAGUUCUGAGAACAUGGAGUCAAAAAAAAAAAAAGAAAACAAAAAAACAAAAAAAAAUACAACUCACUGUUCCUACCCUCAAGGAACUCAGUGAGGUAUAAAAGAUGAACAUAUAAACAACAAAAUUAUAUAUAAUAUAUAGGUUAGGUUAGUGAAAUGCAGGUAUAUGAGCCAGAUAUUAUAAGAACAGAGAAGCACAUCAAGUCGGUUUUUGAGGGAGAAAGCUUACCAGCACAGACUGACAGAUGCACAGCUGCAAGGACACCAGACAGGGGAGAUAGUUUCCAAACAAGUGGAAAAUAGGGCAGACAUCUCUUGAGGGAGGAAGACAACAAGAGACUUCAGAAGGGGUGGAUCCAACAAAAUCCAGUUUCCUCUCAAACUUACUUACCACGUCAGACAUUCCUCCUUUGGAGAGACUACUUGAGGAGUGACAAAGGCCAUAAAACGUUGGGCACAGGAAGAACACCAUGUGAACAUGAAGACAACCACCUACAAGCCAAAGAGAGAGGCCUCAGAGGAAACAACCAUGCUAACAUCUUCUUAUACUCUAGCCCCAAGAAAUGUGAGAAAAUAAAUUUCUGUUGUUUAAGCCAUUCUGUUCAAUCUGUGGUAGUUUGUUAUUGCAGCCUUAGCAGAUUAAUACAGUGAUAAAAGCAAAAACUGUAUCAAUAUAUAUAGCAGUGGCUUUCAAAUUUUCAAUAUAUAUAUAGCAGUGGCUUUCAAAAUUUCAAAUUUUUCACAAUCUACAAUAUGAAAUUAAUUUUACCACUCUACCCAGUAUGCAUAGACAGACAUAGCUGGAACAAAGAACAAAAUUUUUUCUUGCUAAUGUAUGUUGAUAUUUUUACUUGUUUGAUUGUAUUCCAUCAUUUCAUAUUAAGAAAGACACAAUAACUGAUUUUGCAACUGAUGAACUGGCCAAAUGUUAAAAAAUGCUAGAUAAGAAAUACUAUUAUUUGUUAAAACAACAACAAAGGCCCCAGCAAACUAGAUUCUUUGGAUAGAGGCAGAAGGGGCAUUUGUGAGCAUCUAUUUUUUAACUUUUUUUUUUUCCAAAAUAAAAUCUUAUGAGAAAAUCCAAUGUAUCAAACAGAUAAAUGCUGAGUUACUUUGGUAGACAGUGGUGGGGAGAGAAGUGGAGCCUUCCUACUUAUCCCUGACAGCCCUGAUGCAGCUCAACAGCACCAAUGGCUCUUGGGUACAGGACUUAAAAACCAAAUAUUUAUUCCACUCCUCUCAUUAUUUAGAAAGGGGGACAUUGGGGUAAGGGACAAAGCUGUUAGGAGGGCCAGGUGCAGUGGCCCAUACCUGUAAUCCCAACACUUUGGGAGGCUGAGGUGAGAGGAUCACUUGAGCCCAGGAGUUCUAGAUCAGCCUGGGCAACAUAGAAGACCCUGUCUCUAUAAAAAUUUUUUUUAAAUUUAAAAAAUUUGAAAGAUGUUAGGUGAUAUGGUUUGUGUCCCCACCCAAAUCUCAUCUUGAAUAGUAGCUCCCAUAAUUCCCACAUGUGUGGGAGGGACCAGGUAGGAGGUAAUUGAAUCGUGGGGACAGUUUGCCCCAUACUGUUCUUGUGAUAGUGACUAAGUCUCACAAGUUCUGAUGAUUUUUAUAGGGAGUUUCCCCUUUUGCUUGGCUCUCAUUUCUUCCUUGCUUGCUGCCAUGUAAGACAUACCUUUUCUCCUUCUGUGAUGAUUGUGAGGCCUCCCCACCCAUGUGGAACUGUGAGUCCAUUAAACCUCUUUUUCUUUAUAAAUUACCCAGUCUCGGGUAUGUCUUUAUCAGCAGCGUGAAAACAGACUAAUACAUUAGGAGAUUGAGAUUGCAAGUUCUAAGCGAGGAUUGUAUAGAUAUAGAUGUACCAUCAUUCUUCAAUAAUUGGGGAAGUGAGAAUCUCAAAUAUAAAAGAGGUCCAUCAAUAACAUCCAUCUCUUCUUUCCAUUAAAAUAAGAAAUAUAAAAGUAGAAAUAAUGCUUGGUAAAUGUGACACAUCUCCAGUAGGCUCAUAUACUAACUUAAAUCUUGUGCUGUUCCAUUGCCCUCUGCUGGAUGUUCUUAGUAUCUGUGGCCUCAAAACUAGAAGUUCUAGUAGUGGUAGUAGUCACAGCAAUAGUGAUUAUUAUCAUUAUUGUCAUUUUAGCAGCAGCCAUGUUGAGGUCAAGCACUGUGCCACAUGCUUUACAUCCAAAUCCUCCUAACAACUCUAUGGCUAGAUAAUGCUCUCUCAUUUUGUAGAUGUGGAACCUGGGGGUUCAGAGGUAAAUAAACAAACCAAGGUUACACAACUAAAAGUAAGAGACCCGGGAAUUAAAUAUUGGUUCUAAAGCCUAGGCCUUAAUUACUUGCUGUUCAUUAAACUUUCAAUCUGUCAGCUGUGUUGGUGAUAAAACUGGAAUGAUAUUACUAGUUGGGAUCUUUUGAUUCACUGAUUAUUAACAAUGGAAUCACAACGAUCUUUAUUCUAAAAAGCCAAAAAUUAUUAUCUUCCUAAAAUUACCAAAAAGGAAAAGCUUACUCCUCAACAGAGCAGGAGAGCAUGUUUUCAGAGUUUCUCAAAGUGUGAUUCAGGAAACUCCUGCAUUGGAAUCACAUGAGGUGCUACUUCAGGGCAGAAAAUCCUAUGCACCAGGAUGUAUUUUGGAGGUAGAGAGGACAGAGCUUGUUCCUGAGAGCUGGGAUAUGUGUUAGUGGAGUGAGUGUAGAGAGAAAGAGGAACAAAAGAUGGCUCCUAAAAUUUUUGGCUCAGGACAAAUUUUGAGGAGAGUAGUGGCAUUAACUGAGAUGAGAAAGAUUAUUAGAGGAGCAAGGGUUUUAAUUGUUAGUUCAGUUGUGGCAGUUACUUUUUUGGCAGCAGAUAUAAAACCAGGAGUUUGGGUUUAGAUAUUAUAUUUAUGUUGCCAUAUAGGUAACCAAAUAAAAAUGGUAGAGCUAACUACAAAUAACUUUUAAAAAUUCAGAUCUAUAUUUAAGAUCUAUUCAUGUUGUUUCACGUGUAUCUCUUUCUAAUUGCUGCAUAAUCCUUUGUAAGUCUAUCAGUAGUAAGAGACCAGAUUACUUCCAACUCCCGCCACCACAACCAACACAGCAGUGAGCAUCCUCCUAUACAAUCCUUUAAGGUCCUCUGCAUGUAUUCUUUUGUGGUAUAAACUCAGGAGUGAGGUAUACUCAAUUGGAUUCGAUACUGCCAGGUUACUCCCUAAAAUGGCUGUGCUGGUCUAUACCCUAUCAGCAGUGCACAAGAGUUCCUCUACCUUCACAUUUCUUUGAAUGCUAAUAACUAUCCAGCCUAAUUUUUCACUAGAUAAAGAGGCAUCUUAUUGUUUUAAUACAUAUCUCUCUGAUAAGUUUGAGUAUCUUUACACACUCGUUGGACUUUUGGGUUUCUGUAAAUUGCCUAUUAAUAUUUCAUUGUUUUUCUUUCUUUGCCAUGUGAUAACUACAUAUUUAUGGGAUAUAUAGUAGUAUUUCAAUAUAUGUAUACAAUGUGUAAUGAUCAAGUCAGGGUAAUUAAGCAUAUUCAUUAUCUCAAACAUUUAUGAUGUGAACAUUCAAAAUAAAAAUCCUCUCUUCUAGCUUUUUAAAAAAUACACAAUAUUUCCCUUACAGUGCUACAGAACACUAGAACUUAUUCCUCCUCUUUAGCUAUAAUUUCGUAUCUGUUAACGAACUUCUCCGUAUCCUCUCCUCCCCACUACUCUUCCUUCCCCACUACUCUUCCUUCCCCACUACCCUUCCCAGACUCUAAAAACCACAAUUAUACUCUCUAUGAGCUCUUUUUUGUUUUUUUGGCUCCUACAUAUGAGUGAGAACAUGUGGUGUUUAUCCUUCUGAGCCAUCUUAUUUCAGUUAACAUGCCCUCCAGGUUCAUCCAUGUUGCCACAAAUUAGAAGAUUUCAUUCUUUUUUAUGGCCAAGUAGAAUUCCAUUUUGUGUAUAUACACCACCUUAUCCAUUCAUCUUUUGAUGGACAUUUCAUAUCUUGACUAUUUUUAACAGUGCUACAAUAAACAUGAAGGUGCAGGAAUCUCUCUGAUACAUAGAUUUUCUUUCCUCCGGAUAAAUACCCAGUAGUGAGAUUGCUGGACUUUCUUAGCACUCAUGUUAAAAAUCAUUUGAACAUAUAGGUGAGAAGUUAUUCCUGGGCUCAAAAACAAACAAACAACAACAGACAACAGAUAAGGAUACAGCAUGGGCCGGGCACGGUUGCUCACGCCUGUAAUCCCAGCACUUUGUGAGGCUGAGGUGCGUGGAUCACCUGAGGUCAAGGGUUCAAGACCAGCCUGACCGACAGGGAGAAACCCCCGUCUCUACUAAAAAUACAACAUUAACUGGGCGUGCUAGCGCAUGCCUGUAAUCCCAGCUACUCAGGAGGUGGAGGCAGGAGAAUCGCUUGAACCCAGGACGCAGAGGUUGCAGUGAGCCAAGAUCGCACCAUUACACUCCAGCCUGGGCAACAAGAGUGAAACUCUGUCUCAAAAAAACAAAAACAAAAAACCAGCAUGAUUUCAGGAGCAGAAAGAGAAUAACUUAAAAACCAGCAUAAUGAGAAAGUUAGGAAGCUUCUUACCAAAGCAUCUGGAAGUAUGCAAGAAAUUCUUGUGAACUAAAAUUUUCGUGCUGUACUAGCAAACACUACAACUCACUUAUUCCAUCUUUCUGUAUUUUGGGACCCAAUUAUCCACUUCUCUUCAUUCCCUAUCCCACCCCUUUUCUUCCUAGCGUCUGCUAACCACCUUUAUACUCUCCACCUUCCUGAGAUUCCUUUUGUGUGUAUGUGUGUGAUGGAGUCUCUUUCUGUUGCCCAGGUUGGAGUAUACAGGCACAAUCCGGGCUCACUGCAACCUCUGCCUCCAGAGUUCAAGGGAUUCUUGGGCCUCAGCCUCCCGAGUAGCUGAGACUACAGGCACGCGUCACCACGCAUGGCUAAUUUUUUGUGUUUUUAGUAGAGACGGGGUUUCACCAUGUUGGUCAGGCUGGUCUCGAACUCCUGGCCUCAAGUGAUCCGUGCAACUCGGCCUCCCAAAGUGCUGGGAUUACAGGCCUGAGCCACCACACCUGGCCAAGAUUUUCUUUUUUGUUCCUACAUGUAAGUGAGGACAUGUAAUAUUUGUCAUUCUGUUCCUGGCUUAUUUCACUUAAUAUACAGACCUGAAAUCUCAUCCAUUUUUUCUGCAGUGGAGAGGAUUUUAGUCCUUUUUAGGCUGAAUAAUACUUCAUUGUAUGUGUAUACCAGUUUAAUUGACACAAAUUUCUAAAAAGCAAAUAUUUUUAAAAUGUCUCAGAAUGUGAAACUUUAGGGAUACUGUGCCCAUUUUAUUCUUUUCUAUUUCCCAUUUUAUGGAUAUGCAAGUGUAUAAUAAAACAGCAAUCAAUGGGUGUAUAAAUCUAUAACUUCAACAAAUGUAAAAUGAAAAUGCUAAGUGGUGGCUGGGCGCUGUUGCUCACACCUGUAAUCCCAGCACUUUGGGAGGCCGAAGCGGGCGGAUCACCUGAGGUCGGGAGUUCAAGACCAGUCUGACCAACAUGGAGAAACAGUCUGUACUAAAAAAAAAAAAAAAAAAAAAAAACAAAGUAGCUGGGUGUGAUAGUGCAUGCCUGUAAUCCCAGCUACUUGAAAGGCUAAGAGAGGAGAAUCGCUUGAAUACGGGAGGCAGAGGUUGCAGUAAGCCGAUAUCAUGCCAUUGCACUCCAGCCUGGGCAACAACAGUGAAACUCUGUCUCAAAAAAAAAAAAAAAGAAAAAAGAAAAAAGAAAAAAAGAAAAUGCCAAAUGGUAAGAAAAAACAGCAUAAUAAAAAUUUGUAUGGUGUUGAAGAACAAUGCAUUUGAAGAUAAUAUUUGAAGAAAUCAUAUUACAAUUAACUUCUGUUCUUACUCAUUGGUUUGAUGCCUCUAAAAACUUCAUCACUGGAACCACCUCUGGUGCUUUAAAAAAAAAAAAAAAAAAAAAAAAAAAAAUCCGCAUACCCACACAGGUGCAAGUAAAUCAGAAUCUCAGGUCAUGAGACCCAGGCCUCAUCAUUUGUAAGUGCCCCGGGUGAUUUGAUUCAAAGCCAAGAUUGAGGACCCGUGACAUGGAUCUCUACACAUAAUCUGCCUAAAUAGAUUCUCUACAAGCAGUUUAUAAAGAAGUUCCACAUGAACUCUGGAAGAGGAUAUGAAUUUGAUGUACAGUAUGUGCUCACUUAACAUCUUUGAAAGUCUCUUGGAAACUUCACCUUUAAGCAAAAUUAUGGAUAGUGAAACCACUUAUUCCUCAUCAACAUUACAACUAAACAACUUUGAACAAAACAAUGGUGUUGGAGGACCGGCUGUACAUUGUUUCUAUAAAGUCAAUUUUCAGGGAAUUCCAAAAUGAAGUGAGGACUUCCUGUAUAUAAAAAGAUGGUUGUGAUUCCACAUGGAUGACAGGGUUAUUGCUCAGAAACUAAAGGAGGCCGCCCAGGUAUAGAGGAUUCAGUCAUGAGGUUUAUGCUACACAAAAGAUCCCAGAAUACUCACCCAUUCCAGUCAAAGACAUAAUGAAAAAAGCAAUAUUCACAUAGG
Molecule: long non-coding RNA, 7809 nt
Filed under: Homo sapiens (human)
Lineage: Eukaryota; Metazoa; Chordata; Mammalia; Primates; Hominidae
Description: HSALNT0058757
Source: RNAcentral